AAAAAGAUAAGCUAAUUUAAGCUAUUAGGUUCAUACCCUAAUUAUAUAGAAAAUAUCUAUUCUUUUUA
This 68-nucleotide transfer RNA is filed under the name Omoglymmius wukong. Its description in RNAcentral is "tRNA-Met". The record is from RNAcentral. Lineage: Eukaryota; Metazoa; Arthropoda; Insecta; Coleoptera; Carabidae.